UAAUCGAGCAUGAUUUUGUAAUGUAUGCAGUGAUAUGUGUAUGUACAGGAACUUAUCCAGAUUUUUUGAAAACUUUUCUUUGUCUAAAGACUUAGACUGUUUUCACCAAAUAUUUUGUUCUGUUGCAUAUAUAUAGCAUAUCAAUUCAGACUACAGGCUUUUUCCAAAAUUAUAUGUCACAAAGGCAUUGUUUUUGUUGUUUUAUUCACAUGGGAUAUAUGUGUAUAUAUAUGUAUGCAGUAUGACAUUAUGAAAGUAUGAAUUUUAUGUUUGGUUUCAUGACUGUGUUUGUGUGUUUUUUGCUAUGCUUAAAACUUUGAUAAAAGACAGUUAAAACAACAUAGGGAAAACUCUUACAAAAUUUUAUUUUAAAUUUCUUAGGCAAUUUUGCUUCUAUUGGAGAAGUUGUGGAGCUGGAUGGGAACAAUUAUAGGAAGUGGAGGGAUGAUGUAGAGUUUUACAUGGGAAUGCACCAAAACAUAGAUUACUGCCUCCUCAAACCCAAACCUGUAGGCACCGAAGAAGAAAACAACAUGGAUGCUGACAGCUCGUGGCAUUAUUAUGAGUGCUUUAGGACCAAUAGAAUGGCUAAAAAUGUGAUCAGGAGAACUAUGUCUGAGGUGGUUAGGGGAUCGAUAGAGGAACCUGAGGAUGCUAUAGACUUUAUAUGGCUAAUAUUGCUGAGAAAUAUGAGGAAAGUGAAAAAACUGAAGCAGCUAGGCUCCAUAAAGAAUUCCAAGAACUGAAAUAUGAUGGGAAUGGGAGUGUUAGGGAGCACAUAAUGCAUAAGGUUCAGCUGAAUGGGAAACUCAGAGAUUUAAGGAUGGGAGUUGCAGACGCACAGCUUGUGCAUGAUGCACUUUGGUCACUUCGAUCAACCUUAAGCCAACUGAGAUCUACCUAUAAUGCUCUAGAGGUCAAGUGGACUAUUAAUAAGCUAAUUUCAGUGUGUGUGGAUGAGGAGAAUACAAUCCGUAGAGAGGCUCAACCUGCAACUGCAGUAAAUCUUAUGGAGAAGCCUAAGUGGAAAAAGAAGAAUAAGAACAAGGCUUAGCAGACCACUAAUUUUAAGGUAUCCGGCAAACCUGCAGAUUCUAAGGGAGAUAAGUCCUCUAAAGUUAGGUGUUUCUUCUGUAAAAAGAUGGGACACGUUAAGAAGGAUUGCCCUUGUUUUAAGGCAUGGAUGAUAAAGAAAGGCUCACCAAUACAUAUUACCACUUCAUUACAAGGUAUAAUAAGGAGGAGAGCUCCAAGGACAAAUGAGCAGAAUGUCUGCGUAGGAAACGGCCAAAGAGAAGUUGUUAAAGCCAUAGGAUGCUUGAGGAUCGAUUUAGGAGAAGGAAACUUUUUAUUUUUAGACAAUGUUUUUUAUAUCCCCUCAUUGAAGAGGAAUUUAAUUUCUGUAGGCCUUUUGGUCGAAAUUGGUUGUAGUCUUAUUAUUGAUUUCAAUGGAAUAAAACUUUUUCAGAAUUC
Fragaria vesca subsp. vesca is the source of this 1473-nucleotide RNA transcript. RefSeq lists it as uncharacterized. The transcript is spliced from 2 exons. Lineage: Eukaryota; Viridiplantae; Streptophyta; Magnoliopsida; Rosales; Rosaceae. The record is from RefSeq and is a predicted model, not a curated record.